Caretta caretta (loggerhead turtle) is the source of this 4652-nucleotide non-coding RNA. NCBI's taxonomy places the organism in Eukaryota, Metazoa, Chordata, Testudines, Cheloniidae. The record is from RefSeq and is a predicted model, not a curated record.
GCAAAAGACUAGCUUUUCUGAUUAGUUUUCCUUUUUUGCAAAUAUCUUCCCAAAUGAAGAAUUUAUAUACAAGCUUUAAACAAAUACAAUUUAUUGACUCUUCUAAAAGUUUCUGCAUUUAGGCUCUGAUUAGGAAGAACUAGACAUCUGAAUGAAUGGUUUUGAAGUAAUGUACAAAGGAGCCUUUAACUGUUGUAAAAUAAAAGAUUUACAUUCCUUAAAGGUCUUAUUCUCUGCAUUUUGGUGCUGAACUUGAACUUAAAGACAAACUAUCUAGAUAGAAAUCAUAUUAAAACCUUUCUGAUGGUAACAUCUUAGAUUACUUAAUUUGAAAGAAUAAACCUUCUGCUUGGAGCACAUCCCUCGGCCCACACCGCUUCCUGCAGCUCCCGUUGGCCUGGAGUGGCGAACUGGGACCAGUGGGAGCUGCAAUCAGCCGAACCUGCAGAUGCGGCAGGUAAACAAACCAGCACAGUCCGCCAGGGGGCUUACCUUGGUGGGCCACGUGCCAAAGGUUGCCGAUCCCUGGAAUAAGUUGUAACUGGUGCACUUCCCUAACGAUAAGACACCUUUUACAGUGCCAAGUUGAGAAACCUGAAAGCCAGAGAAUGUAAUCUCUCUCUAGUCCUUGCAUCUGACGAAGUGGUUAUACACCCACGAAAGCUUAUGCUUCAAUACAUCUGUUAAUCUAUAAGGUGCUACAGGACUCUUCGCCGCUUUUACAGAUCCAGACUAACACGGCUACCGCUCUGAUAAUCUCUAGUCCCUGUCAUCUUAGUCAAUGCAGACUAAUAAAGGUUUGACUAUCUUGGCUAGAUUUGGCCCUUCGCUGACUUCACCAGCAUGGCUGAAUGUGGCAAAGAAUGACUAAGAAUAUCACUUAGAGGAUUUUAUUUUUUUUGCCACUGAGUCACUGACUUUGGAGUGUACCUAAUGAGCGAGUGACUUUUCUGGUUUAGAAGAUAACUUGAAUAAACAUCUGUAACUUUUUCAUAAUGAAAUGUGAGUAGUCUUAAUGCAUUUCACUAAGAACGUAGGGCCUGGUUGUGUCCCUAAGAGAAACUUUGUACAUGGAUCUUUCCCCUUAGCCACAGAAAGGAGAUUCAGCCGUCUGGGCAACAGCAUUUCCUCAUCCCAAGGAGGUGCUGCUGCAGGAGGGUGGGCUGUGGAUGUGUGGUAGGACUCCUCCUUUCUCUAUUUGUUUCCUCUCUUCCCUAUGCCCAGUGAAAUCCAGGAUGGAAAUGUGAUAUAGUAUAUUUCUACAGUGGAAAACCUCUCUUGAAGGGGAAUUCCUACAUUUAUUCUUUCAAAAUAGGCUUUGAUAAAUUCACUUGUUUCAUGCAUUAAAAUAAGGGAACUUUUAAAAAACUUAUGUCACCUUUGUAACAGCUAGAUGAAUGGGUAAUCAUUGAAUGUACAUUAUUUUUGUAAAUCAGACUCUCAGCUGAAUCUCUCUGCAAAAGUAAACUGUCAUGUACAUUUAAUUCCUUCCUUUGGGUUUCUGGAUUUCAUUGUCAAUACAGUAGUUCUUGCUACAAAUAAUUUUGUUUGAAGAUUGAUUCCAUUACUGUGUGGUCUGAACCAUUCUAAUUCUAUUAAGUGAUUUUAAGAUGUACUUUCAUGGAAUUUGUUGACUCAAAUUAUGGUGAGGAGUCAAUGUUAGCCUAUAAUAUAUAUUUAAAGAUUUAAAUCAUCCUGUCCUAUAAAAACAAUAAUGAUGUCACGAUUAAGACAGUCAUUGGGUAUCUAAAGACUUUAUUAGAACAACUUAAUUGACUAUUGCUACAAAUUUCAUGUUGUCUAUUGAAAUGCCUAGCUAUAUAAAACCUGUUUUCAAUUAUAGUAAUACACACUUUAUGGCCCCAUUGCACUGCCAUGGUGUAAAGGGGCCAUGCCAUAAAUGAGAAGCAGGCCCCUAAAAUUUAUAACUUAUCUGCAUAUUGUAGUGUCCAGUAAUAUAUAUCAAUAUGAUAUUUACAGCUAUUUUUCCCUUCUAAUUAUGGCAAGGUUUUCACAAAAUGGAGGACAAGAGUUUAACUGUUGAUAAUGCAUGUAAGGCGUUUUGCCUCUCAUGAAUAUAUUCGUUCUGCUGCACAGCUUCUCUCCUCAUUCAUCACUAAUAGUAAUACUUCCCACCUUCGGAAUUCAGAAAUGGUCUAUGUUGUUCUGAAGACUUCAGGACUGAGUCUUGCCCUUCAGCUCAGGCCACUGAAUUUUCUGCCUCAAGUGGCAAAGCAAGUUGGUGGUUCAGUUUCUCUCAACCAUUUUGUUUUAUAACUUUAAAUUUUAUAUGAUUUUUGUGCAGUAGUUACUUCAUUUCAGUUUCUUUUUUUUCCCUUUUCUGAGGUGAGGAAUUACUGGAGUAUUGAGGCUUUAACCCCCCCCCCCCAGCUUCUCUGGUACAACACCUCUUAAAUGGCUUCCCUGUCUCUCCCACUGUGGCAGCAGAGUGCAAGCAUUAAGCCAAGACCAAGAGGCGCUAUAGGCAGUUUUUUAGGGGAGAUAUACCCCGCUGCCAUAAGUCACUGACCCUCAUACUGCCAGGGCAUGGGGGCUUUUUUGUUGGAUAAGUAUGUAGGGCCUUGACUUCUACCCAAAACGGUGAGGCCUUGUCUACACUACCAUGUUUUGUCACCAAAAGUGCCGUUUGUCAACCCAAACAGUGAGUGAGUACACACUGCGUUGCAACUUUUGCUGGGGAGAAUGCCUGGUUUUUGGUGACAAAAUACAGCCACCCCCACAAGAGAUUUACAUCUUUCUGUCCACAUUGUCCACAUUGUCGAGAAAGUACAAGUGUAGACACCACGCUUCAUUUCAUCGCUUUAAUUGGCCUCCAGGAGAUGUCCCACAAUGCCCAUCCUGACCGCUCUUGUCAGCAAUUUGAACUCCACUGCCCUGCAGCCAGAUAAAUAACCAUCCUCCCCUCCCCCUUAAAAGCCCCAGGAAUUUUUGAAAUUCCAUUUCCUGUUUGCUCGGCGUGGAGAGGUCUCAUCACACAUUCCCAGGUGACCAUGGCGGGUUAUCGCAGCAAAUGCUCUCCCGCUUGGACCACUGCAGAGCUGUUGGAUCUGAUCAGUAUAUGGGGAGAGUCCCAGCUGUGCCUGAGCUGCAGGAAUUGGGAUAUCUACGGGCAGAUUUCUCAAGGAUUGUGUGAAAACGGCUAUGAUGGGGACAUGCUGCAGUGCAGAGUGAAGAUAAAGGAGCUGAGGCAGGCAUACCAUAAGGCGAGGGAGGCAAACCAUUGCUCAGGUGUGUCACCUAAGAUCUGGCAGUUCUAUAAGGAGCUGAAUGCUAUCCUCAGUGGCGACCCCACCUCCAUUGCCAAGAGCCCCAUGGAUACUUCGGAGGGCACGGAGGCGGCAGAAAGAGGACCAAACCCGGAGGACGAAGUUAUUGAUGGAGAUGCAGCAUUAGAUUAGGAUGUGCAGCUCCCGGCAGGGUCGCCCAGUGGGGCAGGCAGCCAGGAACUGUUCUCCACUCCCAAGGUGUCUAGCCUGUCUCAGCAGUCACUCUCCGAUUAGCAAGAAGCAGGAGAUGAGACUCCUGAUGUGGCCUUCAGAAAUACCCCCCACACACCAGCUGAGCAUGUCUUCCAGAUAAGAAAACAUCCAAGACGCAGCAAAGAAGACAUGUUCUGGGAGGUCCUGCGGUGCUCCAACAGCUAUAUCCUAAGCACCAUCAGAGCGGGUUAUGCCAUCCAGCUGCUCUCCACCCUCCCUCUCUGUCCCUCUUCAAUGACCCCUCUCAUGUGGUACUGCUCCUCAAGCAGGUCUGCUCUGUGCUGACAGUGGAUGAGGGUCCGCCAGAAUUCCUGGUACUUCCCAAUACCCAAAUCCAAGGGAGGAGUAAGAUCCAUCCUCAGCCUUAGUGGACUCAACAAAUAUAUCCAGUACAUGAGGUUCUGAAUGGUCAUUCCAUCAAUUAUCCUCCCUGCAUUGUCUCAGAAUCACUUGUUUGCUGCUCUGACCCUUCAGGACACCUACUUUCACCUGGCGAUUUUACCAAGCCACAGAAAGUUCCUUUGGUUCGUCGUGGCGGAAUGCCACUUUUAGUACACAGUGCUUCUGUGACAAAUAAAGUGUGUGUGUGGAGGGGGAUAGUUCCCUUUGAUGGAUGCCCAGCCAGCCAGUUAGCUGUAAAAUCCCUCUUGGUAGCUGUUCUUUACUUGCUUUAUCUGUAAAGGGUUAAAAAGUCCCCCAGAAAAAGAAAAGAAAAGAAAAAAAAGUGGACACCUGACCAAAAGAGCCAAUGGGAAGGUAGAAUUUUUUAGAAUUUGGAAAGAAACUUUCCCAUUGUCUGUUGUUCUCUGGGCUGGAGGGACAGAGCAGCCAUGCUAUAAGCAACUUAAGCCAGGUAUGAUCAUAAAUCAUCCGAUCAUGCUUAGAACUAUUUAUCUGAACUCCAAAUGUGUAAGUAGAUCAGAAUGUUUGGCUAGAUGCGAUUAGGGUUAUUUCUUUUAUUUCUUAUUGGCUUGUGGACUCCUCUAUGCUAAUCCCAGAUGCUUUUGUUUGCUUGUAACCUUUAAGCUACCCCCCAAGAAAGCUAUUUUGGGUGCUUGAUUUUUGGAAUUGCUAUUUUAAAAUCUAACAAGCAUAAGUUCCAGAUGUAUUUUCUUCCCUUUUGUUUUUAAUAAAAUUUACCUUUUUUAAGAA